RNAcentral lists this ribosomal RNA (1107 nucleotides) under Triticum aestivum (bread wheat). RNAcentral's name for it is "partial small subunit ribosomal RNA". The record is from RNAcentral. Lineage: Eukaryota; Viridiplantae; Streptophyta; Magnoliopsida; Poales; Poaceae.
AUGCCCUAUGAAGCAACCCCGUCGUCGUGCACCACCUUUCGCACCUCCAGCCGCCUCCCAUGGCACCCUCACCCGCGCGCGAGACCUCCCCAUCGCCAGCACCGCUGCCUUGCCGCGCUUGAGUCCUCGUGCGCCUCCCUGCUUCGUCCGGCCGCAGUGCCGCCAAGCUCUUCCAACCGCCCCUGCUGGCGACCAGCAGGCUGCUGUCGUCCGUCUCCUCCACUUGGAGCCUGCGCAGCCACGCGCCCAGAGGCCGCCGCCCACUCCUCCCUCGAUCCCACCGGAUUCGAGCGCCGCGGAGCAGCUCCCUCUCCUGCGCGCCUCGCUGCCGUCUCCCCACAUCGGACCUGGCCUCCACCACCUCGCCUUCAUCUGCCUCCCCGCCAGGGUCCCUCGCAGUCUCCACCUCGUCGCCUUGCCUCGUCGCUGGCCCUGCUCCACCUCGUCGCCUUGCAUCCGCAGAACCAGGCCACGGCCGCACCAUGGCCGCCUGCCUCCUUUGCACCCGGCCUUGACUGGAGUCGCCCCUGUCAGCAACCAGCACGACCACGAAGCUGCCCUCUCCUUCCCCUGCACAGGAGCUCGCAGCUACCAACAUCGCCUCCUUGUUGUUGGCAUCCUCAGGCCCCUUUUGUUGUUUUGUGUUGGACGCGGCAAGAUCGACUACAACGACGCCAAGUUCCACCACCGGCAAGACCCGGACUCCGAAUGCAAGUACAACUGCAAACCCGAAGAACUCAGAUGCAUCAAGUCCCCGAGGAGACCCAUUUUUUCGUCAAGUUCGACUACAUUGUGACGCGCCAAGUACCUAUACCGUGUGUCCGGAAUCGCCAAGACCGUCCCAAAUAUUGCGAAGUACCACUUCGAUUCCAGAACGCGACAAGUACCACGACGCCCGGAGUCCUCAGAUCCGUCAAGUUCCAUUAUGAGAUAUACAACUACCGUCGACUUCGAAGACCUCGGAUUCACCAAGUUCUCACGACGACAAGUGUGACCCUUCGGAUAAGUCAAGUUCGUCCACACAAAAACGCCAAGUACCACUCAUGUCGGCAAGACCCGCAAGUCGGACCCCGAAUGACCGACUUCUUGUGGACUGUGUGCAACUAG